CGUCUAUAUACGUAUAGCAUAUCAAUAAGCGGAGGAAAAGAAACUAACAAGGAUUCCCUUAGUAACGGCGAGUGAAGCGGGAAGAGCUCAAAUUUGAAAUCUUCAAGGUUUUACCUUGACGAAUUGUAGUUUAAAGAAGUGUUUUCUGUUAGAGAGUUAGGCUAAAAGUUCCUUGGAAUAGGGACAUCAUAGAGGGUGAGAAUCCCGUAUUUGACAUUAUUCUUUCUAGCUGUGUGAUACACUUUCAAAGAGUCGGAUUGUUUGGGAAUGCAGUCCAAAAUGGGUGGUAAAUUUCAUCUAAAGCUAAAUAUUGGCGAGAGACCGAUAGCGAACAAGUACCGUGAGGGAAAGAUGAAAAGAACUUUGAAAAGAGAGUUAAACAGUAUGUGAAAUUGUCAAAAGGGAAGCGUUUGACACCAGUGCUGUUUUUCCGAAAAUCAAUUGUGCCUGGCUGGAUUUUGUAGGAGUUUGACCUUAUCAGCUUCUUCUGCUUUUUUCCUGCCUGGUGCAAUGCACUUUUCGGUUAACAAGUCAACAUCAAUUUCCUUUGUUGUAAAAGGGUAAUCGGAAGGUGGCUUUCUUUUCGGAGAAAGUGUUUAUAGCCUUUUACCUCUACAAUCGGAGAGAUUGAGGUCUGCAGCGUAGAUCCUUCGGGGUUAGAUACAUUUGUGCUAAGUUAUAGCUUUUCAUAGACAACUUGUUGACUACGUUUAGUCAUGUAGCUUACUCGCUUGUGCUAUUUUACCUACGCUUAGGAUGUUGAGUCAUCACACAUCUCU
RNAcentral lists this ribosomal RNA (779 nucleotides) under uncultured Neocallimastigales. Its description in RNAcentral is "partial large subunit ribosomal RNA". It matches the Rfam family "Eukaryotic large subunit ribosomal RNA", at positions 26 to 614 of the family's 3401-position model. The record is from RNAcentral. Lineage: Eukaryota; Fungi; Neocallimastigomycota; Neocallimastigomycetes; Neocallimastigales.